GUAGCCAAAUCUUUGUACACCCAAACAAACUCACACAGAAAUCCACCUCCAUCAAAAUCAACGAUCUACACUUCUUCCAUGAUGUGAUCAUACCCAUCCAACGGCCUGUCUUCUUUGGAUCAUCCCGCACAUCAUACCUCCACCCCCGCCAUGCCCACUCCAUGCCUCGCGUACGUGCCUCGCGACGCGAGUUCGAUCCCCACGAGCGCUGAUUUUUCCACACACCGAAAAAAAGAAACACAGCCCUCCCCGUAUCGCUCCCUCCCACCGCCGCUUCCCUGCGUCGCUCCUCCCCGCGCCCCUCCCACCGCCGCCUCCCCGUGCCCCUUCCCUCCCCACCGGCACGCUCGAGGACGGGGAUGGCGGCGUCGUGCUCGGCUCCAGCGCGACGGGCCGCCUCCGACAUCCCAGGCGGAGCGCUCGCGCCCACCGCCGGAGAACGCCCACGCCCACGUCCGGUGCCGGACAACGCCCGCGGACGCCACCGCCGACGUCGCCCCCAGCACCCACCGGACGGAUCUCGGGGCGACCUGUCCGGGGCAGCGAACCGACGCUGGAUCUCGGAAGCCGUCGCUGGGCACUUGGUCGAGAGGGGGAGGGGGAGGCCGCUGGGCGCUGCACGGGCGGUUCGCCGUUGGAUAUGGGGGCAACAACUCUGCUUCUACGGUUCUACCUGACAUCCGGUCGCUAGACUAGCAGCACCAAAGGAAGCAUCCCUGCCGGCUGAGCAACACCGAAUGGUUGUAUCUUCUACUGGCAGAUUAGAUGAGGAUAGGUUGAUCCUGUUGUGAUUGUGUGCUCUACAAAGAAAGGGUGGAAGCAUGUUUCUUACCCGUCAGAAGUACAUUCAAUACCAAUCAUGUAACAACACUUGGGCAAGACGAACGUCGUAUAUGUGUGGAGCUAAAUUGUAUAUACCUCAGGUGUAUUAGCUACAUUCCGUGUGUACAAACAGGGGGACAGGAUAAGCAGUAUGCAGGCAAAACAAGGACAGGGAUCUCCAUCAGAAGAUAGAGACCAUGAUAAUGCAGCUGGAAUACAGUUUCUCUUUCCAGACAACAAUACCAUAUCCAGCUGAAGUUGCAGAGUCAAUUUAUCAAGUAGAAAACAUCCCUGUAAAACAUGGAGAUGAUGAGGACGGUCCUUAUCAAGAGAUGGAUACUGCUUGGAAGAGAAGCAGUGGGUUUUCUCGAGGUGCCUCCAUUUACUGAGGCGUGACAAGGCAUCACCAGCAUGGAAGAUGACAGUCUUGGAUUGACAGAGUUGCUGGAAACAAGGAUCUGUACCUCGGCACUUUCAGUAAGAGAGAUCUCUAUAUGACUGUAGGUUUUGUAUUUUGAAUCGACAAAUAUGUGGUGAGCAGAGCCUUUUGACGUAAGGGUACCUGCCGACCUGCCUCUUGUCUAUUGCUCCAUACAAAUAUAGGCUUUGAAAUAUAUGGUUCUAAAAAAAGUAUGCACUCCAGGCUUGAGGAAGGAGUGUUGAAGUGGACUUCAAAUAGUAUGUAAUUUUCUAGAGGAAUGCUAAUUACUUAGUCAUUUUUCUGCAACACUAAUCUGCACCAUCAUUACUGAUUCGAAAUUUGUUGACACAGGGAGGGAACAAGUUUCUGAGCUACUUCCAGUGAUGUAUCAAGGCCUCAAGAGGAGUCUGCCUGUGUGAACAAUUAGGUCUCGAUUUGCUAAAUAUCCAAAAAUGUGUAAUAUAUUUACUCUGAUGGCUGCUCUGUCGAUAUGUAUGAAAAACAAACCAGUUUUAUGUCUGCUUGUACAAACCGUCAUUAAUUUGUUUGUGACA
Long non-coding RNA from Panicum virgatum (switchgrass), 1797 nucleotides. RefSeq lists it as uncharacterized. NCBI's taxonomy places the organism in Eukaryota, Viridiplantae, Streptophyta, Magnoliopsida, Poales, Poaceae. The record is from RefSeq and is a predicted model, not a curated record. The transcript is spliced from 7 exons.